This 255-nucleotide ribosomal RNA is filed under the name uncultured bacterium. RNAcentral's name for it is "partial 16S ribosomal RNA". It matches the Rfam family "Bacterial small subunit ribosomal RNA", at positions 524 to 776 of the family's 1533-position model. The record is from RNAcentral.
UACAGAGGGUGCGAGCGUUGUCCGGAAUCACUGGGCGUAAAGGGCGCGUAGGUGGUGGCUUAAGCGUGCGGUGAAAGCUCGGGGCUCAACCCCCGAGUCGGCCGUGCGAACUGGGCUCACUGGAGCAUAGUAGAGGCAGGUGGAAUUCCGGGUGUAGCGGUGGAAUGCGUAGAGAUCCGGAAGAACACCGGUGGCGAAGGCGGCCUGCUGGGCUAUGGCUGACACUGAGGCGCGACAGCGUGGGGAGCAAACAGG